RNAcentral lists this ribosomal RNA (555 nucleotides) under uncultured bacterium. RNAcentral describes it as "bacterial SSU rRNA". It matches the Rfam family "Bacterial small subunit ribosomal RNA", at positions 57 to 598 of the family's 1533-position model. The record is from RNAcentral.
GCAAGUCGAGCGAGAAUCGGACCUUCGGGUCCGAGGACAGCGGCGAACGGGUGAGUAACACGUGGGUAAUCUGCCCUCGGCACCGGAAUAGCCCGGGGAAACCCGGAUUAAUGCCGGAUGGCCCAACAGCUCUUCGGGGCGGUUGGAAAAGGUAGCUUCGGCCUCCGGCCGAGGAGGAGCCCGCGGCGGAUUAGCUUGUUGGUGAGGGUAACGGCCCACCAAGGCGACGAUCCGUAGCUGGUCUGAGAGGACGAUCAGCCACACUGGGACUGAGACACGGCCCAGACUCCUACGGGAGGCAGCAGUGGGGAAUCUUGCGCAAUGGGCGCAAGCCUGACGCAGCGACGCCGCGUGGGGGAAGAAGGCUUUCGGGUUGCAAACCCCUUUCAGAAGGGACGAAGCUACUCGGGUGAAUAGCCCAGAGGGUGACGGUACCUUCAGAAGAAGCCCCGGCUAACUACGUGCCAGCAGCCGCGGUAAUACGUANGGGGCAAGCGUUGUCCGGAUUUAUUGGGCGUAAAGAGCGUGUAGGCGGCCAGGCAGGUCCGUGGUGAA